RNAcentral lists this non-coding RNA (178 nucleotides) under Sus scrofa (pig). RNAcentral's name for it is "Eukaryotic large subunit ribosomal RNA". It matches the Rfam family "Eukaryotic large subunit ribosomal RNA", at positions 2137 to 2327 of the family's 3401-position model. Lineage: Eukaryota; Metazoa; Chordata; Mammalia; Artiodactyla; Suidae. The record is from Rfam by way of RNAcentral.
AUGACAUAUCAAAAGUUAAUUUGUACAGAAGCCUGUGGCAGGUAGUGACGUGAUUUUUGCCCAGUGCUGUGAAUGUCAGUGUAAAGAAAUUCAAUGAAGCCAGGUAAAUUAAUGGGUGUAACUAGGACUCUCUUAAGCAAGCCAAGUGCCUAAUUAUAGAUGUGCAUGAAUGGAUGAA